GCAAGUCUGGUGCCAGCAGCCGCGGUAAUUCCAGCUCCAAUAGCGUAUAUUAAAGUUGUUGUGGUUAAAAAGCUCGUAGUUGAACCUUGGGCCUGGUUGGCCGGUCCGCCUCACCGCGUGUACUGGUCCGAUCGGGUCUUUCCUUCUAGGGAACCGCAUGCCCUUCACUGGGUGUGUCGGGGAACUAGGACUUUUACUUUGAAAAAAUUAGAGUGUUCAAAGCAGGCCUAUGCUCGAAUACAUUAGCAUGGAAUAAUAGAAUAGGACGUGUGGUUCUAUUUUGUUGGUUUCUAGGACCGCCGUAAUGAUUAAUAGGGAUAGUCGGGGACAUCAGUAUUCAAUUGUCAGAGGUGAAAUUCUUGGAUUUAUUGAAGACUAACUACUGCGAAAGCAUUUGCCAA
RNAcentral lists this ribosomal RNA (401 nucleotides) under uncultured fungus. RNAcentral describes it as "SSU rRNA". It matches the Rfam family "Eukaryotic small subunit ribosomal RNA", at positions 555 to 961 of the family's 1831-position model. The record is from RNAcentral. Lineage: Eukaryota; Fungi.